Molecule: small RNA, 938 nt
Filed under: uncultured Marasmiaceae
Lineage: Eukaryota; Fungi; Basidiomycota; Agaricomycetes; Agaricales
Description: eukaryotic LSU rRNA
Rfam family: Eukaryotic large subunit ribosomal RNA (bases 670-938)
Source: RNAcentral
AGGAGUAAAAGUCGUAACAAGGUUUCCGUAGGUGAACCUGCGGAAGGAUCAUUAUUGAAACAUUGUGAAGGAGGUUGAGCUGGCUUUUGCAAGUGCUCACCUUCUUUCAAUCUUCAUCCACCUGUGCACCCUUUGUAGGGAUAUAGAAGUCUGGAACGGUGUAAAAGCCAAGUACGGGUCUCUAUUCUCUAUGUUUUUACACACACUUAAUGUAUGUUUAUGAAUGUCUACUAGGGACUUAAUUGACCCUAUAAAAGUUAAUACAACUUUCAGCAACGGAUCUCUUGGCUCUCGCAUCGAUGAAGAACGCAGCGAAAUGCGAUAAGUAAUGUGAAUUGCAGAAUUCAGUGAAUCAUCGAAUCUUUGAACGCACCUUGCGCCCCUUGGUAUUCCGAGGGGCAUGCCUGUUUGAGUGUCAUUAAAUUCUCAACCUCAUAAGCUUUUGCUUAUUGAGGAUUGGAUGUGAGGGUUGCUGGCUUGUAACAGAGUCAGCUCCCUUGAAAUGCAUUAGUGGAUUCAACCAGUUGUAGACCACAUUGGUGUGAUAAUUAUCUACGCCAUUGACUAAGUGUCUGCAGUUUGGAAGGUUGCAAUGUAACAGUUGCUCUUUCUGCUCCAAGUGUUGUCCGCUUCAAACCGUCCUAAGUUACUGGACAACUUUGACUUGUUUGACCUCAAAUCAGGUAGGACUACCCGCUGAACUUAAGCAUAUCAAUAAGCGGAGGAAAAGAAACUAACAAGGAUUCCCCUAGUAACUGCGAGUGAAGAGGGAAAAGCUCAAAUUUAAAAUCUGGCAGUCUUUGAUUGUCCGAGUUGUAAUUUAGAGAAGUGUUACCCGUGCUGGACCGUGUACAAGUCUCCUGGAAUGGAGCGUCAUAGAGGGUGAGAAUCCCGUCUUUGACACGGACUCCCAGUGCAUUGUGGUAUGCUCUCAAAGA